RNAcentral lists this transfer RNA (62 nucleotides) under Tettigades ulnaria. RNAcentral's name for it is "tRNA-Thr". It matches the Rfam family "tRNA". Rfam says of the family: Transfer RNA (tRNA) molecules are approximately 80 nucleotides in length. Their secondary structure includes four short double-helical elements and three loops (D, anti-codon, and T loops). Lineage: Eukaryota; Metazoa; Arthropoda; Insecta; Hemiptera; Cicadidae. The record is from RNAcentral.
GUUUUAAUAGUUUAAGUAAAACAUAAGUCUUGUAAACUUAAAAUAAUAUUAAUUUUAAAACU